GUAGCAAUACGUGGCAUACGGCUCAGUAACACGUAGUCAACAUGCCCAGGGGACGUGGAUAACCUCGGGAAACUGAGGAUAAACCGCGAUAGGUCAUAAUAUCUGGAAUGAUUUCUGGCUGAAAUCUACAUGGCCCCUGGAUUGGACUGCGGCCGAUCAGGCUGUUGGUGAGGUAAUGGCCCACCAAACCUAAAACCGGUACGGGCUCUGAGAGGAGAAGCCCGGAGAUGGGCACUGAGACAAGGGCCCAGGCCCUAUGGGGCGCAGCAGGCGCGAAAACUCUGCAAUAAGCGAAAGCUUGACAGGGUUAUUCUGAGUGAUUUCCGCUAAGGAAAUCUUUUGGCACCUCUAAAAAUGGUGCAGAAUAAGGGGUGGGCAAGCCUGGUGUCAGCCGCCGCGGUAAUACCAGCACCCCGAGUGGUCGGGACGAUUAUUGGGCCUAAAGCAUCCGUAGCCGGUUCUACAAGUCUUCCGUUAAAUCCACCUGCUUAACAGAUGGGCUGCGGAAGAUACUAUAGAGCUAGGAGGCGGGAGAGGCAAGCGGUACUCGAUGGGUAGGGGUAAAAUCCGUUGAUCCAUUGAAGACCACCAGUGGCGAAGGCGGCUUGCCAGAACGCGCUCGACGGUGAGGGAUGAAAGCUGGGGGAGCAAA
Molecule: ribosomal RNA, 652 nt
Filed under: uncultured Nitrososphaerota archaeon
Lineage: Archaea; Thermoproteati; Nitrososphaerota
Description: bacterial SSU rRNA
Rfam family: Archaeal small subunit ribosomal RNA
Source: RNAcentral